CUCGUAGACUCCUACGGGAGGCAGCAGUGGGGAAUAUUGCACAAUGGGCGCAAGCCUGAUGCAGCCAUGCCGCGUGUAUGAAGAAGGCCUUCGGGUUGUAAAGUACUUUCAGCAGUGAGGAAGGUGGGUAUGUUAAUAGCAUACUCAUUUGACGUUAGCUGCAGAAGAAGCACCGGCUAACUCCGUGCCAGCAGCCGCGGUAAUACGGAGGGUGCGAGCGUUAAUCGGAAUUACUGGGCGUAAAGCGCAUGCAGGUGGUUGGUCACGUCUGCUGUGGAAACGCAACGCUUAACGUUGCGCGUGCAGUGGGUACGGGCUGACUAGAGUGCAGUAGGGGAGUCUGGAAUUCCUGGUGUAGCGGUGAAAUGCGCAGAUAUCAGGAGGAACACCGGUGGCGAAGGCGGGACUCUGGGCUGUAACUGACACUGAGGAGCGAAAGCAUGGGGAGCGAACAGGAUUAGAUACCCUGGUAG
RNAcentral lists this ribosomal RNA (473 nucleotides) under uncultured bacterium. RNAcentral's name for it is "bacterial SSU rRNA". It matches the Rfam family "Bacterial small subunit ribosomal RNA", at positions 328 to 793 of the family's 1533-position model. The record is from RNAcentral.